CUGAUUUUCAUGUAUUAGUUAUUUUUACCCUCUUCAAAAUCUAUCAACUGUUCAAACCUGCAUACACAAACAGGAACAUUGGGGAGAAGAGUCCCAGAGGGUGGAAGAUCCCCUACUCAUCCCACGUGCCUCACCUCAUGUCACACACUCCUCUCUCUCUCCCCUUGCUGGGGACCUACCCCAAGGCCAUCCCAGCUGGUCUCAAGGCACUGACCGAGUCCUGCUUCACAGCCGCUGGAAGUGCCAACCCACUCGCGUCCCCAAACCCGAUCCUUCCACGGGACACCCAGCUAGGGUCUACAGCGAGUGACCCUGCCGUGAGAGGCGCGGCCCCCAUCACCUGCCCAAGCCGGCGGAGCAGGGCCUGAAGCCCCGCGCGCUCAGCCAACCGCAGCUCCCCAGGCCGCUCUCCAGGACCCAACUCAGGCGAGCACAGGAGCCCCUGUUUGGGGUUAUUUGUUCGCCUCCCUCCUGGUUCCUGCUCCCAAACCUUCCACCCAGCAGCCGCCGCCAGCGCACCCGAACCGCAGGAAAGUUGCUCUCUAGCUGUGGAGGGGAGUCAUCGCCUCCUAGCAACGCUCCUAGCAACCGGUAACAUCUGCUCCCUCUGGUCCAAUGCGAGCCGAGAACAGCUGCGCGCCCGCCUCGCGUCGCGAACCCUGAGCGAGAGGAGCUUCAGAGACUGGAGGGACGGACCUGCAGGAGCCAGGGCAGCCCGCCGAGCUGCAGUUGCCUCUGCUGCCACUGUCGCGCCGCCGCCGCCGUCGCUGUCCCUGUCAGCGCCCGUCUGAAGAGGGACAGCGCCGCAAAACGGGAGGGAGCACCGGAUCCCGCGCCUUUAUGAAACAGGUGCGUGCACCUGUCUCCUGGUGAGUGGACCCAGAUCGCAAGGUAGCCAUUCAUGAGCCCGAGGCUUUGAGAAAUGCUCGCUGUGCAAAGGGGAACUCUCACCAGAUUUUCUGAAGCUGUCCUAGAGAUACACUUUUCAGAUUGAUUCAGCAUUACCAGCUUAUCCAGCAAAAGUAUUAACACAUACGUUAACAACGUCGAAAGUAGCCUACUUUAAGAGAAAAUAUGCAGAAGAAGAAGAUUUACAUCAAGAUUACCAUGGGUAUUUUCCAAAACACCUGAUACUGCCUGAGGACAGGACUUGCAUUCUCAAACUUUCUCUAGAGAAGCUCAGAUUUCUUGAAGACCCAGAAACCUACUUAAGAAGGUCUGUGUUAAUUAACAAUUUGCUGAGGAAGAUCCAUCUAGAGACGGAGAAAGAGAGCUAUGAAUACUUUAAAGAAGCUCCCUGUUAUAAGACUGCUUAUUCUGAUAC
This is a non-coding RNA of Delphinapterus leucas (beluga whale), 1324 nucleotides long. NCBI's taxonomy places the organism in Eukaryota, Metazoa, Chordata, Mammalia, Artiodactyla, Monodontidae. The record is from RefSeq and is a predicted model, not a curated record.